Molecule: ribosomal RNA, 1524 nt
Filed under: uncultured bacterium
Lineage: Bacteria
Description: bacterial SSU rRNA
Rfam family: Bacterial small subunit ribosomal RNA
Source: RNAcentral
AGAGUUUGAUCCUGGCUCAGAAUGAACGCUGGCGGCAUGGCUAAGACAUGCAAGUCGAACGAACUAUCUUGAAGAGUAAUCGGAUUGAUAGUUAGUGGCGCAAGGGUGAGGAAUAGGUAGGUAACGUACCUCGGGCUCCGGAAUAGCUCAUCGAAAGGUGGGGUAAUGCCGGAUGAUGUCAUCUGUUUAAUUCAGAUGACCAAAGAUUUAUCGGCCCCUGAGCGGCCUAUCUCCUAUCAGCUUGUUGGUGAGGUAACGGCUCACCAAGGCGACGACGGGUAGCGGGACUGAGAGGUUGACCCGCCACAUCGGAACUGAGACACUGUCCGGACCUCCACGGAGGGCUGCAGUAACGAAUAUUGGGCAAUGGGCGAAAGCCUGACCCAGCAAUGCCGCGUGUAGGAUGAAGCUUUUCGGAGUGUAAACUACUUUCAGGGAUUAGAAAGCUACGGUUGAUCAAUCCCAGAAGAAGUCACGGCUAACUUCGUGCCAGCAGCCGCGGUAAUACGAAGGUGGCAAGCGUUAUUCGAAAUCACUGGGCUUAAAGGGCGCGUAGGCGGAUAUGUAAGUGUUAGGUGAAAUCCCUCGGCUUAACCGAGGAAUUGCUUAGCAAACUGCAUAUCUUGAGUCAAGUAGGGGUGUGUGGAACUCUUGGUGGAGCGGUGGAAUGCGUAGAUAUCAAGAGGAACGCCGAAGGUGAAGACAGCACACUGGACUUGUACUGACGCUGAGGCGCGAAAGCGUGGGGAGCGAACAGGAUUAGAUACCCUGGUAGUCCACGCCGUAAACGAUGUAUACUAGGUCGCGGAGGUUCUGACACCGUCGCGGUCGUAGCAAAAGUGUUAAGUAUACCGCCUGGGGAGUACGGUCGCAAGGCUAAAACUCAAAGGAAUUGACGGGGGCUCACACAAGCGGUGGAGCAUGUGGAUUAAUUCGAAGCAACGCGCAGAACCUUACCUGGGUUUGACAUGUAUGGAUGCCUAUCUGGAAACAGAGUCGGCUGCCCUCGGGUGAAACUUACACAGGUGCUGCAUGGCUGUCGUCAGCUCGUGUCGUGAGAUGUCGGGUUAAGUCCUUUAACGAGCGAAACCCUUACCGUUAGUUGCCAGCGCGUCAUGGCGGGGACUCUAGCGGGACUGCCGGUGUUAAACCGGAGGAAGGCGGGGAUGACGUCAAGUCCUCAUGGCCUUUAUGCCCAGGGCUUCACACGUGCUACAAUGGCAGUUACAAAGCGACGCGAUACCGCGAGGUGGAGCAAAUCGCAAAAAAACUGCCCCAGUUCAGAUUGCAGGCUGACAACUCGCCUGCAUGAAGGUGGAAUCGCUAGUAAUCGCGUAUCAGCGAUGACGCGGUGAAUGUGUUCCUGAGCCUUGUACACACCGCCCGUCAAAUCACGGGAGUUGGGAGUACCCGAAGUCGGAUUGCUAACUCGUAAGAGAGGCGUCUGCCGACGGUAAGUCCGAUGACUGGGAUUAAGUCGUAACAAGGUAGCCGUAGGGGAACCUGCGGCUGGAUCACCUCCUU